CAGGGAGGCGUAACAGCCUUACCAGUUUGAACCAGAACUUGCUUUGCUGGACUGAACGUUGGCUACGCGAUAGCAAAGUAGCGCUUAACAUCGGGCCAGCAACAAGAUAGUGGAGAAACCCAAACGCCACCACGGAUUUUUUAUGGGACAAACGCACGGGCCUCGCCGCGAAAACGAUGCCUCACAAUAGACGAUACACAUCUUCAGAUAGAGAUAGUCGAACCAGCUAUCCAGACAGAUACAGAGACAGAGGACGAAGAUAUCGACAAAGAAGGACACCUACUAACUCCACCAGUAGUGACAGAGAUCGUGACAGAAGGGGACGAGGGUACCGACAAGAAGGAAGCUAUCUACGCUCAAGGAGAACACAGCAUUUUGUCUGUGUGUCUCUGUGCAGCCGCAGCUAUGACAAUCGCUCAACAGAACACCGGCCGUUCGACAGAAGAUACUAUGAGGGAUACAGACGAUUGGACCAGAGCCGUGAGCGGGACAGGGACAGGGAGCCGCACGGAGCAGCCGAAAACUAUUAUCCUCGAGAUUUCUCCCCGAACAUGUACGACUACCGACACGGCCGUGAGAGAGAGCGUGAGCGGGACGACUCGUACCGGCGGAAGGGCAGCAGGCGUAAGCACAAACGAAGGCGGCGUAGAACCAGGUCCUAUAGCCCCUCGUCCUCGCGGAGCGCCAGUCGGACACGAGCACUGAGUGUGAGGGACGACGAGGAAGGGCACCUGAUCUGUCGGAGUGGGGACGUCCUGCAAGAGAGAUACGAGGUUGUCAGCACUUUGGGGGAAGGCACCUUUGGGAGGGUGAUGCGCUGCAUUGACCAUCGCAGGGGAGGAGCCCAUAUUGCUCUGAAAAUCAUCAAGAAUGUUGAGAAGUACAAGGAAGCAGCUCGACUUGAGAUUAACGUUUUAGAGAAGAUAAAUGAAAAAGAUCCUGAUAACAGAUUCUUGUGUGUACAGAUGUAUGACUGGUUUGACUACCACGGUCAUAUGUGUAUCUCCUUUGAGCUGCUAGCUCUGAGCACUUUCGACUUCCUAAAGGAAAACAACUACCUACCCUACUCAAUUGGUCAAGUCAGACACAUGGCCUACCAGCUCUGUCUUGCUGUGAAAUUUCUUCAUGAUAAUAAACUGACACACACAGAUCUGAAGCCAGAAAACAUCCUGUUUGUCAACUCUGACUUCACAAUGACGUAUAAUGUAGAGAAGGUAAGAGAACAAAAACGAGAGGAGCGAACCGUCAAAAGCACAGCAGUACGAGUCGUGGACUUUGGCAGUGCCACUUUUGACCACGAGCACCACAGCACCAUCGUGUCGACGAGGCAUUACCGUGCCCCCGAGGUGAUAUUAGAACUAGGCUGGAGUCACCCCUGUGAUGUCUGGAGCAUCGGCUGCAUCCUGUUUGAAUACUACUUGGGCUUCACCUUGUUUCAGACUCAUGACAACAGAGAGCAUUUGGCGAUGAUGGAAAGAAUCCUGGGUCCAGUGCCCUCAAGGAUGAUUCGUAAGACCAGGAAACAGAAGUAUUUCUAUCGCGGACGACUAGAUUGGGACGAGAGCUCGUCGGCGGGAAAAUAUGUCAGAGAAAACUGCAAACCAUUGCGGCGGUACCUGCUGUCCGAAGCAGAGGAGCACCACCAGUUGUUUGACCUGAUUGAAAGCAUGCUGGAGUACGAGCCGUCCAAGAGGCUGACUCUGUCAGACUCCCUCAAGCAUCCUUUCUUCGAGAACAGUGGCACCGGCGAGGCGGCCGGCAGCAAGAACUGGGAGGGCAACCGCGACAUCAGCCGGUGACCUUUGCUCUUCACAGACUGACUGACAGGGGAGAUCAGGAGCUGAACUGUUCAGUCACCUUGGACAGGAGGUUCUGUGAGAGAUAACAGCAUGGACACCUUGACUUCCUGCUCCUCCAGCACGACCUUCCCUUGUCCUUCCCGUCGGCACAAGUGGCAUGUUUUAUUUUAUUUUUUUGCAGCAGAGAGACCAAAAUAAGCAGUACAAAACUGGAGAAGAGUUGAAUCUUUUCUAGUGAUCACAGCCCAAGAAACAAGGUUGAAUAAAAUUGAAGGUGAGAAAUCUCCAAACUGCCCUCUAUGCAGCUUCUGUCUUCCUGUCGACUGGGGAACACCUCUCUUCCCGCCGUCCGAAGAAAAUGACACCAUCGACACUCUCCGUCUCUCAAACACGAAUCAGUUCGGAAGCAGAAAUCUCUCCCAGUGCUGAAGUCCGAGAAAAGGCAGCCGUGUCAUGAGCCAGGGAUUAAGAAAUGUGGAUGAUCUGCAGCAGCAGAAGUCGAGGAAGCGGCGCACCUGGUCCAUCUGUUGGUAAUCUUCCUGUUGCUCUAUUAACCUCUCACAUUCUCUUUAUCUAUAACUCACUUAAUAUUUAAAGAUGGCGCCUUCAGGCUUUGUUCACUUCUUUUUCUUUUUUAUUACUUUAAGCUUAGCUUUGCAUUAAAAGUACAUUGCUUUGUAAAAAUAUCCGCACCUUUUAGAGCCUUUUUAUGUAAAGUUUAUGUAAGAUACCAAAAUUAAGUAGAGCAUUGUUGUGAAGUCGAAGGAAAACGAUCCGUGGUUUUAAUUUACAAAUAAAACUGAAAUGUGUGGCAUGCCUUUUCACACAGUUUCCCAGGAGUCAAUAAUUCAUGGAUCCAGUUUUUAGGAUUACAUCUCUACCAACUUUGGUCAUCUGCCCAUUAUUCCUGAAUCUUAUUCUAACAGACGUGUAUCUUUUGAUUGAAAUCGUUUCAUUGUAUAAUUUAGUGUCAUCGUUUUGUUUUCUGUGUCUUCCUGUUUAUUUUGCUCCAUCCGUCUUCCGAGUUGUAUCCCCACAGUCUGAUACUGCCACUACCGUGUUUGAUUUUUAGCUAUUGGGCAUUUAGGUUGGUUGUAUUUAGGUGAAAAAAGUAUUUCAGUUUCAUCUGACUGGAUCAACUUCUUCCACUGUUAUUCUUGUGCAAAGUGUUUUUUAUUUUUAUUGAUCUCAGCGUGAGACGUUCUGAAUAAAAAUACAUGCUAGA
Poeciliopsis prolifica (blackstripe livebearer) is the source of this 3024-nucleotide RNA transcript. It is a transcript of the gene named CDC-like kinase 2a, with no coding region annotated. The record is from RefSeq and is a predicted model, not a curated record. The transcript has 14 exons. Lineage: Eukaryota; Metazoa; Chordata; Actinopteri; Cyprinodontiformes; Poeciliidae.